UACAGAGGGGGCAAGCGUUGUUCGGAAUUACUGGGCGUAAAGGGUGCGCAGGUGGGCUGGUAAGUUCGAUGUGAAAGCCCCGGGCUUAACCCGGGAAUGGCAUUGGAUACUACUGGUCUGGAGGAUCGGAGGGGGGACUGGAAUUCUUGGUGUAGCAGUGAAAUGCGUAGAUAUCAAGAGGAACACCAGUGGCGAAGGCGAGUCCCUGGACGAUACCUGACACUGAGGCACGAAAGCCAAGGGAGCAAACAGG
Molecule: ribosomal RNA, 253 nt
Filed under: uncultured bacterium
Lineage: Bacteria
Description: partial 16S ribosomal RNA
Rfam family: Bacterial small subunit ribosomal RNA
Source: RNAcentral